This 454-nucleotide small RNA is filed under the name Pan troglodytes (chimpanzee). RNAcentral's name for it is "processed transcript". The record is from RNAcentral. Lineage: Eukaryota; Metazoa; Chordata; Mammalia; Primates; Hominidae.
CUAUCAAUGGUUUGCAGACUAUUUUUCUGCUUAGUUGUAUACUACAAAGUGUGAAAAGGAUUUGCCAAUGAAGCCACAUGCUAUGGUCUGUGGAGGGCCCGACUUAUGAGCUGAAGUUUUGGCCCUUUGUGUUUCAGUAUGGCUGUACCGCAUUACAUUAUGCCUGUGAAAUGAAAAACCAGUCUCUUAUCCCUCUGCUCUUGGAAGCCCGUGCAGACCCCACAAUAAAGAAUAAGCAUGGUGAGAGCUCACUGGAUAUUGCACGGAGAUUAAAAUUUUCCCAGAUUGAAUUAAUGCUAAGGAAAGCAUUGUAAUCCUUGUGACCACACCGAUGGAGAUACAGAAAAAGUUAACGACUGGAUUCUAUCUUCAUUUUAGACUGUUGGUCUGUGGGCCAUUUAACCUGGAUGCCACCAUUUUAUGGGGAUAAUGAUGCUUACCAUGGUUAAUGUUU